UUUUAAAAAUGCGAAAAAUCCUGUGCAAAGCAAGUCUCUGUCUACAACUAACACUAAAAUGCGAAAGUGUGGGAGCAAACAGGAUUAAAUACCCUGGUAGUCCACACUGUAAACGUUGUACACUAGGCGUUAGGGGAUUUAAUCUUCUAGUGCCGAAACUAACGCGUUAAGUGUACCGCCUGGGGAGUAUGCUCGCAAGGGUGAAACUCAAAGGAAUUGACGGGGGCCCGCACAAGCGGUGGAGCAUGUGGUUCAAUUCGAUGAUACGCGAGGAACCUUACCAGGGCUUGACAUCUAUCUGACAGGGGUAGAGAUAUCCCGUUCCUUUUAGGACAGAUAGACAGGUGCUGCAUGGCUGUCGUCAGCUCGUGUUGUGAGAUGUUGGGUUAAGUCCCGCAACGAGCGCAACCCUUACUGCUAGUUGCCAUCUGGGUAAAGCCAGGGCACUUUAGCGGAACUGCCGGUGACAAACCGGAGGAAGGUGGGGAUGACGUCAAGUCCUCAUGGCCCUUAUGUCCUGGGCUACACACGUGCUACAAUGGGCUGUACAAAGGGUAGCAAUACCGCGAGGUGGAGCCAAUCCCAAAAAACAGUCCGUAGUUCAGAUUGGAGUCUGCAACUCGACUCCAUGAAGUUGGAAUCGCUAGUAAUCGCAGAUCAGCACGCUGCGGUGAAUACGUUCCCGGGCCUUGUACACACCGCCCGUCACACCACCCGAGUUGAGGACACCCGAAGUUAUUACCUUAACCGCAAGGAGAGGGGUACCUAAGGUGUGCUUGGUGAGGGGGGUGAAGUCGUAACAAGGUA
RNAcentral lists this ribosomal RNA (807 nucleotides) under uncultured bacterium. Its description in RNAcentral is "bacterial SSU rRNA". It matches the Rfam family "Bacterial small subunit ribosomal RNA", at positions 688 to 1498 of the family's 1533-position model. The record is from RNAcentral.